GAUGUAUAUCGGGUAAAAGGGAAUCAGGUGAAAAACCUGAACGGUCCGGCCACUGUAAGCAAAGAGUACUGCCUCAUAAUCCAUUGUAUACCCAUUUUUGCGAGAAGGAGAGGCAGUGCAGUGAAGUGCAAGUCAGGAAACCUGCUUGGUACA
This 153-nucleotide non-coding RNA is filed under the name pig gut metagenome. The record is from RNAcentral.